AGUGAACGCUGGCGGUAGGCCUAACACAUGCAAGUCGAGCGGCAGCACAGUAAGAGCUUGCUCUUACGGGUGGCGAGUGGCGGACGGGUGAGGAAUACAUCGGAAUCUACUUUUUCGUGGGGGAUAACGUAGGGAAACUUACGCUAAUACCGCAUACGACCUACGGGUGAAAGCAGGGGAUCUUCGGACCUUGCGCGAUUGAAUGAGCCGAUGUCGGAUUAGCUAGUUGGCGGGGUAAAGGCCCACCAAGGCGACGAUCCGUAGCUGGUCUGAGAGGAUGAUCAGCCACACUGGAACUGAGACACGGUCCAGACUCCUACGGGAGGCAGCAGUGGGGAAUAUUGGACAAUGGGCGCAAGCCUGAUCCAGCCAUACCGCGUGGGUGAAGAAGGCCUUCGGGUUGUAAAGCCCUUUUGUUGGGAAAGAAAAGCAGCAGGUUAAUACCCCGCUGUUCUGACGGUACCCAAAGAAUAAGCACCGGCUAAUUUCGUG
Molecule: ribosomal RNA, 492 nt
Filed under: uncultured bacterium
Lineage: Bacteria
Description: partial 16S ribosomal RNA
Rfam family: Bacterial small subunit ribosomal RNA
Source: RNAcentral